This 616-nucleotide ribosomal RNA is filed under the name uncultured bacterium. RNAcentral's name for it is "bacterial SSU rRNA". It matches the Rfam family "Bacterial small subunit ribosomal RNA", at positions 61 to 723 of the family's 1533-position model. The record is from RNAcentral.
GUCGAGCGCACCCCUUCGGGGGCGAGCGGCGGACGGGUUAGUAACGCGUGGGAACAUACCCUUUACUACGGAAUAGCCUCGGGAAACUGAGAGUAAUACCGUAUGUGCCCUUCGGGGGAAAGAUUUAUCGGUAAAGGAUUGGCCCGCGUAAGAUUAGAUAGUUGGUGGGGUAAUGGCCUACCAAGUCAACGAUCUUUAGCUGGUUUUAGAGGAUGAUCAGCUACACUGGGACUGAGACACGGCCCAGACUCCUACGGGAGGCAGCAGUGGGGAAUCUUAGACAAUGGGCGCAAGCCUGAUCUAGCCAUGCCGCGUGUGUGAUGAAGGCCUUAGGGUCGUAAAGCACCUUCACCAGGGAUGAUAAUGACAGUACCUGGAAAAGAAACCCCGGCUAACUCCGUGCCAGCAGCCGCGGUAAUACGGAGGGGGUUAGCGUUGCUCGGAAUUACUGGGCGUAAAGCGUACGUAGGCGGAUCAGAAAGUAUGGGGUGAAAUUCCAGGGCUCAACCCUGGAACUGCCUCAUUAACUCUGGGUCUUGAGUUCGAGAGAGUGAGUGGAAUUCCAAGUGUAGAGGUGAAUUCGUAGAUAUUUGGAGGAACACCAGUGGCGAAGGCG